Cyprinus carpio carpio is the source of this 1268-nucleotide long non-coding RNA. Lineage: Eukaryota; Metazoa; Chordata; Actinopteri; Cypriniformes; Cyprinidae. The record is from Ensembl.
UUGGUUAACACAAGCACUCCUCCAACAUCCUCAACUGUAGCACAAUUGUUGACAACUGAUUCAGCAACCACAGCUAUUCCUGAAAUAACAGUGGUACUUCCAACAAUGAUUGGUGCAACAACAACAACUUUGGCUACCAGAAGUACCCUUUCAACAUUCUCCACUCUAGCUCCAACAUCAACAACCGAUACACCAACUACAACUAUGCCUGAAAAAACAUUAGCACUUCUAACAAAUGGUAUUAUUGUUGAGGCAACUAAAACUUUGGUUUCCACAACAACAAACAAUCCAACAUCUACUAUGGCUGAAACCACAACAACCCUUCCAGUAACUUUGGCCACACUUCCAACAUCCUUGACUAUAGAACAAUCUUUGGCUGCUACAACCAUCCCUCAAACAUCAUCAAAUAUAGCACCCAUGUUGACAACUGAUAGAGCAACUACAAAUUCACCCGAAACAGCAACAAUUCUUUCAGCAACAACAAUUGGUGCAACAACAACAACUCUGGCUGCCAAAAGCACCUCUCCAGCAUCCUCAUCUGUAGCACCAACAACUGAUGCAGCAACCACAACUAUGCCUGAAACAACAUCAGUCCUACCAACAACACCUAUUGGUGCAACAACAACUUUGACACAAGCACCCCUCUAACAUCAUCACUUCUAGAACCAUUGUUGACAUCUGAUGAAGAAACAACAACUGUGCCUAAAACAACAGUUCUUGAAACAACAGUUUUGUUUAACAUAAGCACCCUUGCAACAUCUUCAGUUGCAGCACCAAUGUUGACAACUGAUGCAGUAACCAAAACUAUUGGCGCAACAACAACAAAUAUCGCCAACACAAGCAUCCCUCCAUCAUUCUCAUCUUCAGCACCCUUAUCGACAAUUGAAUCAACAUCCACAACUAUGUUUGAAACAACAACAGUACUUCCUGUUACAACUACUAGUGCAACAACAACUUUGGCUGGCACAAAUACACUUCCAACAGCAACUAUAGCAGUCCUUGGCAAAACAAGCUUACCUCUAAUGAACAGAACUGGUUCAGCACUGGUUACAAGCAAACUGCAGUUUAACUCCUCAUCUCCAGUCCCCAGAGAAACUCAGGUCCUCAGUGUUAUCAAGACUCUUCUCAAAUCCAGAGAGUCACAGCUCAACAAAUCAGUUCAAGUGCUGAAUGUCACCUAUAAAAAUAUCUCAGAGACCUCUUAUGCAAUCAUCUUUACAUUUAACCUGAUUGACAUUAGUAUACCAAAGGACCCUGCAGUAAAGAAC